RNAcentral lists this ribosomal RNA (497 nucleotides) under uncultured bacterium. Its description in RNAcentral is "partial 16S ribosomal RNA". It matches the Rfam family "Bacterial small subunit ribosomal RNA", at positions 36 to 507 of the family's 1533-position model. The record is from RNAcentral.
GCUUCCCUCUUUCUUCGUGCCUAAUACAUGCGAGUCGAGCGAACGGACGGGAAGCUUGCUUCUCUGAUGUUAGCGGCGGACGGGUGAGUAACACGUGGAUAACCUACCUAUAAGACUGGGAUAACUUCGGGAAACCGGAGCUAAUACCGGAUAAUAUUUUGAACCGCAUGGUUCAAAAGUAAAAGACGGUCUUGCUGUCACUUAUAGAUGGAUCCGCGCUGCAUUAGCUAGUUGGUAAGGUAACGGCUUACCAAGGCAACGAUGCAUAGCCGACCUGAGAGGGUGAUCGGCCACACUGGAACUGAGACACGGUCCAGACUCCCACGGGAGGCAGCAGUAGGGAAUCUUCCGCAAUGGGCGAAAGCCUGACGGAGCAACGCCGCGUGAGUGAUGAAGGUCUUCGGAUCGUAAAACUCUGUUAUUAGGGAAGAACAUAUGUGUAAGUAACUGUGCACAUCUUGACGGUACCUAAUCAGAAAGCCACGGCUAACUACGUG